UACCCGGAAGACACGACCACGAAGCGAAGUACGCGGAUCACAAGAAAACACUGCAAAAUAGGGGGAAACUACAUCAAAGCCUGGAUAUAAUUUGUAUACAAAAGGGUUGGGCGAGGUGCCUAAAACCAGUUUGGCAAGUGGGAUUAUCGGAAAGGCAUUCUUAAUAAGUCAACCCCAGAAUGAAUGCCAUAAACCUACAGCAGCUGGCGGGCUUCAUCUCAACAAAUGGUACCACAAUGCCCUUUGGACAGAGAAUGAAUGUAUAAAUCUGAUCGCUUUACCCCUCUCUUCCUGUCUCUCUCACACACUGACCAUGAAAAGAACACAAUGAUACGGAGCAGAACUCUGCAGCCAAACUGAGACAUGCUGACUAGAAAUGAUGAACUGACCAGAGACAUUUGAGUAACUACAAGUCUUUGUGCUGCCCUGAAACUACACAUCUAGCAUUUAUCAGACUGGAAGACUGACAACCAUGACACCUCUGACUUCACUUCCAUCUUCCAUCCACUUGAAUCCGCCUCUUCCUUCCCAAGAACUUUAUCACCAGAAGAAAUGCCAUCUUGAUCAGUCAUAUGGAGACUUGCGCUGUUUCAACAUCUUA
Polypterus senegalus (gray bichir) is the source of this 601-nucleotide long non-coding RNA. RefSeq lists it as uncharacterized. The record is from RefSeq and is a predicted model, not a curated record. NCBI's taxonomy places the organism in Eukaryota, Metazoa, Chordata, Cladistia, Polypteriformes, Polypteridae. The transcript is spliced from 3 exons.